Bufo bufo (common toad) is the source of this 150-nucleotide long non-coding RNA. RefSeq lists it as uncharacterized. Lineage: Eukaryota; Metazoa; Chordata; Amphibia; Anura; Bufonidae. The record is from RefSeq and is a predicted model, not a curated record. The transcript has 3 exons.
CCCGUCCCUUGCAGCUGCUUGAAAGAAGUCCUUUUCUUCCGGAUCGCUUCUUUCCGACCAGCCAGACUUUUAUGUACCUCCAACGAAGAUGGAUCUCUUUCCGUGACGUAUCCUUUUUCUCUUACCCCAGCGACGUGAUGAGCAGAACAG